UGGCUGGGGAUUUCUUACCUCCCUGCUUUGCCUGUCUUGUCUCAUAGCCUAGGACACAAGCAGAAAACAAUGACAGCUGUACAGUAAGUUCUUGUUUUAUUUUGCAGGUUUGUUUUAACGUGGAAGUGAAUCUUACAGCAUAAUGUAAAUCAAACAAGCAAAGGAAAAAAGGAUGUCCAAAGUGGUCUUCCUGGAUUUCGAUAAAGGACCAUUGCAGGAAGCCAUGGAUAUUAGUUUGUAAAUGUAC
Molecule: long non-coding RNA, 247 nt
Filed under: Geospiza fortis (medium ground-finch)
Lineage: Eukaryota; Metazoa; Chordata; Aves; Passeriformes; Thraupidae
Description: lncRNA (ENSGFOG00000006133.1)
Source: RNAcentral